RNAcentral lists this long non-coding RNA (1108 nucleotides) under Gossypium barbadense (sea-island cotton). Its description in RNAcentral is "long non-coding RNA (GBAR_LNC021830)". Lineage: Eukaryota; Viridiplantae; Streptophyta; Magnoliopsida; Malvales; Malvaceae. The record is from RNAcentral.
UUCAAAGUUAUCCUAGCCCAAAUACUUAGCCCAAAUACCUAGCCCAAUUGCUAAACCUAAUGGAGCCCAAUACCAAAACAAACUGCAUGCAAAGACCCCAGAAGUUUCGGCAGCUGCUUCUCCACGUUCGUCUCCACGGCCUCCGUACCUGCGAAAAAAGUGGAUCCAAACAGCAAACAAACCAGCAUACAACGUAGCAAUAACAGAAACAUAGCAAAUAAUAGCGGAAAAUACAAGAAAAAAUGGAAAAAAGGAGUUUUCGAGAAUUUCUUUUUUCUGUUAUUUCGGCUAUAUAAAGCCAAAUUAAAUUUGAAAAAAGGGGCUGAUUUUAUAGAAAGAAAUACAGAGAAAAAGAUUGAAAAUAGAUAUACAAAAAAAAAGAGAAAAAGAAAAGAAAAGUUUGAAUAAAAGGUGAUUUUCUGUUUUUAUUUUGGUGUUCAUCGUUCUUUUUUUUUAUGUUUUUAUUUUUAUGCAUAAAAUAAAAGGAAGAGAAGAAAGAAAGCUUACCUUUGCCCUCGGAUCUACUCCAACGGGGUUCAAAAACCCAACUCGGUGAGCAUCCGGCCACCGAUCACGGUGGAGCCGCGGUGGAAGGAAAGUGACGCGGCGGCGGCUCAGGAAAAAGUUAGAAACCCUAGCAGAGAAAGCUAGGGUUGGUUUGUUUUUUAUAAAAAAAUGGCAGAAAAUGGAAUGUUUUAAAAAAAAUAUUGAUUUUAUAACAGGUACGAAACGACGUCGUUUAGGGCCUGUUUCAAUAGCCUCAAAACAGCGCAGUUCUGGCAAUGAUCUGCGCAGUGACCCGACCCGAGGGAAGGAUCCGCACGUUUUCUCCUAAGGGUCAAUUUCGUAUUUGAUCCUCCUCCUUUUGUGGCGUGUUCAAAUCAACUUUUUUUAUUUUUUUGAAUUUUGGCUCUGCAUUUUAUUUUUGUUUCAUUUUAGUCCUAUCACAGCGCUGCGUUUUGGGAGGAUGGGGAAUAUUUCCCAAUUAGUCCCCCAUGUUAUUCGCGCGCUGUAUUGUGGCCCUCAACUUUAUUUUAUUUUCAUUUCUUUCCUUUCAAUUUUGUUUUAAGUGCGAUUUAACCCUCAUUAACUUAAUUUAAUGUACUCG